CUGUGACGUUACUGACAGAAGAAGCACCGGCUAACUCCGUGCCAGCAGCCGCGGUAAUACGGAGGGUGCGAGCGUUAAUCGGAAUUACUGGGCGUAAAGCGUACGCAGGCGGUUUGUUAAGCGAGAUGUGAAAGCCCCGGGCUCAACCUGGGAACUGCAUUUCGAACUGGCAAACUAGAGUGUGAUAGAGGGUGGUAGAAUUUCAGGUGUAGCGGUGAAAUGCGUAGAGAUCUGAAGGAAUACCGAUGGCGAAGGCAGCCACCUGGGUCAACACUGACGCUCAUGUACGAAAGCGUGGGGAGCAAACAGGAUUAGAUACCCUGGUAGUCCACGCCGUAAACGAUGUCUACUAGAAGCUCGGAACCUCGGUUCUGUUUUUCAAAGCUAACGCAUUAAGUAGACCGCCUGGGGAGUACGGCCGCAAGGUUAAAACUCAAAUGAAUUGACGGGGGCCCGCACAAGCGGUGGAGCAUGUGGUUUAAUUCGAUGCAACGCGAAGAACCUUACCUACACUUGACAUACAGAGAACUUAC
RNAcentral lists this ribosomal RNA (533 nucleotides) under Pseudoalteromonas tetraodonis. RNAcentral describes it as "bacterial SSU rRNA". It matches the Rfam family "Bacterial small subunit ribosomal RNA", at positions 467 to 1000 of the family's 1533-position model. The record is from RNAcentral. Lineage: Bacteria; Pseudomonadati; Pseudomonadota; Gammaproteobacteria; Alteromonadales; Pseudoalteromonadaceae.